RNAcentral lists this transfer RNA (78 nucleotides) under Oryctolagus cuniculus (rabbit). It matches the Rfam family "tRNA". From Rfam's summary of the family: Transfer RNA (tRNA) molecules are approximately 80 nucleotides in length. Their secondary structure includes four short double-helical elements and three loops (D, anti-codon, and T loops). The record is from Rfam by way of RNAcentral. Lineage: Eukaryota; Metazoa; Chordata; Mammalia; Lagomorpha; Leporidae.
AGUGCUGUGGCUCAGCGGGUUAAAGCCCUGGCCUGAAACGCCAUCAUAUGGGCACCGGUUCUAGUCCUGUCUGCUCCU